RNAcentral lists this ribosomal RNA (518 nucleotides) under uncultured bacterium. RNAcentral describes it as "bacterial SSU rRNA". It matches the Rfam family "Bacterial small subunit ribosomal RNA", at positions 37 to 518 of the family's 1533-position model. The record is from RNAcentral.
GUGGCGGCGUGCCUAAUACAUGCAAGCGAGCGCGGGAAGCGGACAAUCACCCUUCGGGGUGUGCGUCCGUGGAACGAGCGGCGGAUGGGUGAGUAUCACGUGGGCAACCUGCCUGUAAGAUUGGGAUAACUCGCGGAAACGUGAGCUAAUACCGAAUGAAGUCUUUCGCCGCCUGGUGAAAGGAUGAAAGAUGGCUCUUGAGCUAUCACUUACAGGUGGGCCCGCGGCGCAUUAGCUAGUUGGUGGGGUGAAGGCCUGCCAAGGCGACGAUGCGUAGCCGACCUGAGAGGGUGAUCGGCCACACUGGGACUGAGACACGGCCCAGACUCCUACGGGAGGCAGCAGUAGGGAAUCUUCCGCAAUGGACGAAAGUCUGACGGAGCAACGCCGCGUGAGUGAAUGAAGGUCUUCGGAUCGUAAAACUCUGUUGUCAGGGAAGAACAAGUUGUGUUCUAACAGGACAUGACCUUGACGGUACCUGACCAGAAAGCCCCGGCUAACUACGUGCCAGCAGCAGC